UUUAGCGUGACUUUAUUAUCAUAAGAAAUGAAGUGUAUUGGAAAAUUUUGUGCGAAUCGGCCUUGUAAUUGCGCUCUAAUAGCUAAAAUAAGUUUUUUUUCGGUACCCGAAGGAUGCUGCAUUACGCGAUAAAUGGCUUAAAUUUUUCGAGUUCCGGAGACUUCCCGUUGCUGGAUUCUAUGCGGCUAUGUAGCGCAAGUAUUAUUCAAACAAAAAUCAGUAAAUAUGUAUAUAAUGAAAAGAACAAACUGCAAAAAAAACUCCGUUCCUGUGUAUUCGCACGUUACACAGUUAUAGGAGUUUAAGGAAAACAAAAAAGCACAUCCAAACGUUUUCUCCCAGCAAACAUUUGAUGAUGGAUCUAUUUCCCGCAGAAAACCAUUCUUGACCCUAUCGAACAACGUAAACAAUCUACAGAAGUUAGAUUAGAUGCAUAAAAUAUACCAUGCUGUAGCUUUCGGACAAAAAAUCAUCUCUUCAGAUCAACCAAAAGCAACACUACCGGCAACGCAACCAUCCGGAAAAAAUCAGACCGACGAUUCCGCCGGGAAUCCGACCUUUGGAUAUAGGUUGGUUACCCUAAUUGAACAGCAUUAUUCUUGUCAGGAAAGUUCAACUUACAAUAGCGCCUAUUUAUAAUUUGUUGUCUAAUGUUUAUCAACGAAAAUUCAAAAAAUAACAUUACUACCCAAAAAUAUUGCAGUCAAAUAAUGAUCGUGAUCGACUGGCUCAAAAUUUUGACAGUAAGCUGGCUCAAGAUGGCGUCUUCGCAUACACGGUAAUUUUUCACACUUCAGUCCAUUGUUCUGGAAGCCCGAGAGUUCAGUUGAACGGAGUCCGCCAUUUGUUAGUUGAAAAUUGUUAUUGCCUUUUCCUUCGAAUUAUUUUCAAAUUGAUAGAAUGGACAGUACAGUGAAUAAUAGUGACGGAAAUGUCAGUCAACCAAGCACAGCAAUGAACGAAAUUUUUUUUGUGACCAACGUGUAUUUGUUCCUGCUGUCCAACAAUUCGCUCGUUCAAAGGCAACAAACGGAGGAUAGCGAAUCGCUACCGGAACCAACGCAAAUUCUGCUGAUUGAUCGUGUCAAUUGUGCUUAACAACGAAUCGCUAUACUCCGGGCUGAUCGUGGUCCGGCACAAGAUGCUAUACCGGAUCUACGAUUGCACGGGAAAUUGUAACAUACCGAAACCGAAUGAGGGGGAAGAUGCAUCAAACGGUGCGGAAUCGUCCCCACUGGGCUACCGACCAACGUGUAAUUGUUCCUGCUGUCUGAAAGGUUGACCGGACUCGCUCGAUCAAGUACCAAACGGGAUACUGAGUCGCUACCGGAAGCGACACCAAUUCCGCUGAAAUCUAUCGUUUGUGUGUUACCACGAACCGCUAUACUCAGCGCUGAUCGUGCUCCGGAACGAAAUGCUACACCGGUUCUACGCUUGCAUGGGAAUUUUAAUCGUACCGAAACGGUAAGAGUCAAUGUCCAUCUGCUUCCAGUGUGCGGCAAUGAGAUUUCAGCUCGCCGGAUACACCACGGCCGCAGCUGCUUGUAGCAGGUGAAUUUGCUCAACACCAUAUUACGUUUAAAAGCGACCCAGACCGCCCGAAAUGUCACCUGAUUUGCUCUCUGAACGCGUUGCUCAUCCAGAGUUGCUUAUUUUGGCUAUUCGCAACUAACCUACACUGGAUACAAGUCGUUCCUGCAUCCGCCACCCGUGGACGCGCUCGAUGGCUCUCAACUGAGUUUGUGUAUGUAUGUGCCAUUAGGAGCCUUGAGGACAACCAUAACAACUGGGUGACUAAACAGAACAGCGGGACAUUAUGAUUUAGAGCAACACACCACCGUUCUAUGAAUCGUUGGGGUUUGCACCAUGCGAUGUAGAAUAAUAUAGUCAAUGAGACAAAAUAACUAAUCGAAUGAUUCACUGCGUAUAGUUUUUCUCAUGUUCCCAAUCUUCUAUUGGCAGAUUGGCGCUUUAAAUAAUCGGUGCAACGUCGUAACAUUAUUUAGUGGAUUCUUGGUGGAAAUGUGGUGCUUCCUGCCGAUGUUGGUGACUCGAAGGCAAACCGAAUAAAAGGGCUCCAGAUUGAAACAGUUAAACAUAUAGGGUAGAUGAUUUAAUUUUUCUCAAACUAUUAGGGUGCUACACUAUGUUCCGAUGAAUAUACUGGAAGAGGUAGAGAUUUUGUGCGAAGUAGGGAUACCAAUUUUUUAUCCCAUAAUUUGAACAGCAGACGAUGUGUUCGGUUAGGUACAAUAAAUAGAUAGGCUACGAUGAUAUAAAGAGAUGUAACCCUCUCAGUGGGAGGCACGAUUCUCGAGAGUCUAAGAUAGAAUAUUUAUGCAAUUUCACCCGAUCGAAGUGAAUUAUAACUCUUACAGAAACAUGGACAAAUAUAUUGCGAAUGAAUAAAUUAUGUUUCUAAAGUAAA
Topomyia yanbarensis is the source of this 2428-nucleotide RNA transcript. RefSeq lists it as uncharacterized. The transcript is spliced from 6 exons. The record is from RefSeq and is a predicted model, not a curated record. NCBI's taxonomy places the organism in Eukaryota, Metazoa, Arthropoda, Insecta, Diptera, Culicidae.